This is a non-coding RNA of Phrynosoma platyrhinos (Desert horned lizard), 72 nucleotides long. The record is from the annotation of a GenBank genome assembly. Lineage: Eukaryota; Metazoa; Chordata; Lepidosauria; Squamata; Phrynosomatidae.
GCCAGUGUGGCAUAAUGGUUUGUGUGUUGGAUUACAACUCUGGAGACCAGGGUUCAAUUCCCAGCUUGGUCA